Molecule: ribosomal RNA, 311 nt
Filed under: uncultured bacterium
Lineage: Bacteria
Description: bacterial SSU rRNA
Rfam family: Bacterial small subunit ribosomal RNA
Source: RNAcentral
GACGAACGCUGGCGGCGCGCCUAACACAUGCAAGUCGAACGAGCGAGAGAGAGCUUGCUUUCUCGAGCGAGUGGCGAACGGGUGAGUAACGCGUGAGGAACCUGCCUCAAAGAGGGGGACGACAGUUGGAAACGACUGCUAAUAUCGCAUAAGCCCACGACCCGGCAUCGGGUUGAGGGAAAAGGAGCAAUCCGCUUUGAGAUGGCCUCGCGUCCGAUUAGCUAGUUGGUGGGGUAACGGCCCACCAAGGCAACGAUCGGUAGCUGUACUGAGAGGUAGAACAGCCACAAUGGGACUGAGACACGGCCCAU